GCGAAGGAUUAAAACAUUUUUAACCCAGAGUCUUUUCGAUGAAGAUCAAAAACGCAACACUCUAAUUUUUUCAUGACG
Molecule: small nucleolar RNA, 78 nt
Organism: Aureobasidium namibiae CBS 147.97
Lineage: Eukaryota; Fungi; Ascomycota; Dothideomycetes; Dothideales; Saccotheciaceae
Rfam family: A. fimigatus snoRNA Afu_298
Source: Rfam